Acipenser ruthenus (sterlet) is the source of this 1054-nucleotide long non-coding RNA. RefSeq lists it as uncharacterized. The transcript is spliced from 3 exons. Lineage: Eukaryota; Metazoa; Chordata; Actinopteri; Acipenseriformes; Acipenseridae. The record is from RefSeq and is a predicted model, not a curated record.
GGCUGGACUCAGGCCUGGGGGAAGGGGCCGGGGAGUUUAUACAGGGGCGCGCCGAGCACGAUGAAAGAUUUGAGGGGGUUCACAGCGCUCUCGGAACACGCACAGCACCGGGGGGACUGAGCCCGGCUUCCCAAAUUACAAACUGAUGAUUAAUUGGCGAAGGAACAACACACUCCCUUCCAAUCACUGGAACCAUUUGUCAUACUGAUGUAUCGGUCGCCGGUAUUACCAGCAGAGCUGAGUUAGGAUAUACGUGCAGACCACACGGGGGCAGUAGUGUCUGGUGCAGGAAACCCAGAGGCGUGACGUUUCUUGUUUGCAAGAAUUGCAAAAUUGACACGGUAGCCAGCUGAGAUCAGCAGAUCAGUAUAAAGUCAUUUGCCAUUCAGACCCAGCUCAUGUGUUUCCAGCAGUUGGUGGAGUCUUCGUAGAAAGGCAAUUUUAAGGUUAUAACUAAAAAUUCGCUCAUAUAAACCAAGCCUCAUUAUGACUACAAUGCAACCCAGUUUUAUAGCCUUUUCUGCAUUUACCUCAAUUUUCUGCGAUUAUCAAAACUCUCCCUUUGCUUUUGUGACUAAAUAUAUACAGCAGCAUGAAAGAUUCCCCAAAUUAGGCAACAGCAAUGACUUGCUUUCACAUGAAUGCAACAUGGGGCGUUUCUUACAUCCUCUAAGGUGGCGUGGGGACAAGUUCAUGGUUACACCCUUGUGUACAAGAUGUACUUGGAGAGUAGACAUGAUUCUGAGAGCUCUAUUGAAGCCACAUGUUUUAAAGUAAUCAGGAUAUACAGUCAAAACUAGAAUAAGAUAAAUACAUCCAUACCUGUAACAGAUUGCUCAUUAAGUUCAGGUCUUCCAGUGAAUCAAGCUGCCAGGCAGCUCCAGUUGUAGUUUUCAUGUUUAAUAAUGAUAAAGCAUGAUUACUCAAUUGCUGGAAUAAGACCCAAUUGAAUGAGCAAAAUGAUGACCUCACCUCACUCAAGUUCAUUAUUUUAGAAGGCAUUGGCAGUGGGUGGCUUGAGAAAUCGUUCUGCUGUACUGCAAGCCCAGACAUU